RNAcentral lists this long non-coding RNA (5653 nucleotides) under Sus scrofa (pig). Its description in RNAcentral is "lncRNA (ENSSSCG00000053486.1)". The record is from RNAcentral. Lineage: Eukaryota; Metazoa; Chordata; Mammalia; Artiodactyla; Suidae.
GUUCACUGUUGAAUAACAGGUCUUGGGGGGAGGAGAGGGGCUCUAAUUCGUAGUAUUUGUUCAUCUUCAUGAUGUAUAUACUUUCCUGGUGGCCACUUUUAAGCUACCAACCUGACAUUAAACAGUCCAUAAAAUCCCUGGAAAUUAUUGACUUUCAUCACGGUGGCUCAAAUUGUGGCAUCUGAAGCUUUGAUUCUCUGCCACAGGGAUGUUCCUUUGGACUGGGUACCAGAUAUCCCUGAAAACCUGUGCCCUGAGCUAGGGGUGGGGUCUCAUGACAGGAGGGAGAGGAAGACUUGUUUAUUAAUCCUAUAGUCGACAUGAGUAUGGCACUGAAACCCAGGGCUGAGUCUUGCUGAGCUGCUUCCAGAUCCAGGUGGCACCUACCGCUCUUCCCACGGUGGCCAUGGGCCUAUUCCCAACCUAGCACUGCCCGCAUAGAAGCAGAUCUAGUUGGCCUCUUCAAGCCCUUCAUUUUGGAAAUAAUAAUUCAUAGGGUGCCUAAGAACAAUAAAUCACUUAGAAACUGGUAAUGCUCCUUAAAUAUUUGCACCUGAUGUGUUUUCUUCAACACAUCCAUGUGUUCAAAGGCUGCCCAGUUUUUUUCCAAAUGGCAUGAUGUUUGUAUGAUUCCUACAGAUGUACAUCCAAACAACAGGUCAGAUUUAGAGGCAGAGAAGGCAGGACCUCUGUACCUCUAGGAGGCUUCCCUAUUAAGACAUGGUUUCCAGUCAAGGGCUAGUUAGCCAAGUCAUGUGCUUUGAGCUGGCCUGGUCAAAGACAACUACAUUGAUGAAGGGGCUCUGACUUAAUUAAGAUGAGGCCUCUUUCAAGCGACUGCCUGGAAAUCAGCAAAGAGGAGCCUGGGGCCAUUGCUAACCUUCCUGCUCAAAAAGCAAAAGAUGCAAAGGAAGAACAGUGUUUGAGGCUGUAGGCAAAGAUGGAUGCAAAUGAUGAUAACACUUUGCUCUGUCCCCAACCUAAGAAUAUCGUCAGCCAUAGAAGAGAAGGGACAUUUGCUCCUUUGUGAGGCCAACCCAUUGCAAGUGGGAGUUGUAGGUACUGGUUUUGUCUGCAGUCAAGGCGGUGGCUGAUUGAUUUUUAUACAUUAGGCAUCUUGAUAUUGGCAGGGGUGUUUAGGUGAUGCAGACCAGAGAAAGUUCAUUAACACAGUCAGCUCAGGAUGGUUUAGAUUCUCCAGGAGACCAGCUUUGCCCAGCAUCCUACAGAGACCUUGGAAGGAGUCCUGGGGAAUCUGUCUGCUGUCUUUACAGCGAUCCGGGGAAGCACAUGUAAGAAAGACAUGUUUGAUUUGGGGAUUAUAGGCCUAAAAGAGGUAGCCCGAAGAAUGUCUUCAUCUCAGUUUGCUUUUGUUGCUUGCUGAGCAUGCCGGCUCCAUGGGAAGAUUAGACCGUUCUUGUUUGUUUGGAAGAAGCAUUCAGAAAACCCAAGGCCUUCAGCCUCCUGCAGUCACUAGGCUGGCUGGGGACGCCUGGUGCUCUGCCCUGAACUGAAGUUGUAUUUAUUUUAUUCUUUGGUCUGCUUUUUUUUUUUUUUUUGAUCUGUGAUCUCUGGAUUUUCAAGCAGUGAUUUGUAGAAAGCAUGCUGAGCAGCCCGAAUGCCACCCCAGGCACUGCUCAGAAAGGAUCACCAAACUUCAGCAGCCAUUAGAUCAAAGCAGAAACCAAAACAGAAAGACUGGCUGGUGGGGAAACGCUGACCUUUCUGUGUGCUGGCUCCAAGCGCAUAUGGAUUGUCCUUCCUGCCUGGGAGAAUCAUUUCCUAAGUCAAUUGGCUUUCACUGAAGAAAUGUCAGCAUUAUGAUCAAAAGCUCCAUGAACCUUCCUGAACGUCCAAUGGCAAGGGCGAGGGGGCUUCCCUUGGGUGUUGCCUGAAUAAGCCAAAUAGUGUACUGGUUGGAAUAAAUUUUGCAGUUGUUUGUGUUUAUGUUGCUUGAACUUGAAGAUGGCUAGUGGUUUUCCAAUUCUGUGAACUCUUGUCUUCUGCUGGGCAAAGUUCUAUGUGUACCUCUGAUUCUCAUUUCUGCAUUAUGCCCUAUAGUUACCAAGUGGUAUAACAGAAGUUGCUAUUAUAUGUCCUACCUAGGUGAUGCCGUGGAAGGAGUGUUUCUGAUUUCUUGUUUGGUGUGGAAUGAGGGAUUCCAGUGAACCAAGGUUGUUGGGCAGUGCCUUGUGGGUUGCAUUAACAAUCAGAUAAAGAAUUGGUCACAAACUGCCUGUCACCACAAUCUGUAAGCUAUGUGAACUCCUGAGUAGACAAUACUUUCUACCAUGCGAAUUAUUGACAGGAUCAUGGGUUAGGCAUGGCUAUGAUUACAGAGCCUCUGCUGUACCAGGUAAUGUGAUAGAGUAGCUAUCCUAAAGCAGCUUAAGAGCCAAGUAAUAUUUCUACAUUUUACCACAUGAAUAAAAUCAUGUCUCCAGGAUCAAACACCUAAGUGGCAAAGCUGCAAUUUGAACCUAGAUCUCCCAACACCAGAACCUCCUCUCUCUCCAUGAUUCAAUGCCGCUUUAGUGGAAAAUGAGGAAGUGAUAAAAGUGGCCUACCAUAAAUACACAGAAGCACCAUUUUCGAGAGGGGAUUUCUAAUAGCACACUCAAUCUACCUAUGUAACUGCUGGCUCUAAAUAGAGUUAAGUAAAUCCUUUUAAUGGAAUAAGAUGCUCAAGGGAGAUAGCAUUAACAUAUAAGAUGCUUAUCAUUCGUUCCCCACAUUCCAAACAGAAGCAAGAGAUGGUUUGAUAAAUGAAUUGAACAAUAGAGUCAUUUCACUGUUGCUUCCAGAAAUACCUUUUAAAAACAGUGAGAAGAAGUUUGGUGUUAUCGCAAAAUUUCCCCAUCAAGGAUUGAAAGUUAUUUUUUUCAUUCACAUGCACUUUACACGUUUAACUUCUUUUUCUUUUCUUUUUUUGAAUCGGCAUUCACAGUUUUUAUUAUUAAAGUAUAAUUGAUUUACAGUAUUGUGUCAAUUUCUGCUGUACAGAAUAUUUACUCGGUCAUACAUAUACAUACAUUCUUUUUCUCAUACUAUCUUCCAUCAUGUUCUAGCCAAGAGACUGGAUAUGGUUCCCUGUGCUGUACAGUAGGGCCUCAUUGCUUAUCCAUUUUAAAUGGAAUAGUUUGCAUCUAUCAACCCCAAACUCCCCAUCCAUCCCACUCCCUCCCCCCUCCCCCUUGGCAACCACAAGUCUGUUCAACUUCUUUUUCUUUGUGGGUGGUUGAUUGAAAUUAUUUCCCCUAAAUAUAGAAAGCAUUUGUGUCUACAGCCAUUAAAAAAAAAAAAAAAUGGCAAGACGGUACAUUCACCUUCAGCAAUCGGUACUGCUGACAAAGGAGGAUCCAAGUUAAAAACAAAAUGAUUCUUAAGUGGCAUUAGAAUAUGGUAUUCUUCCCUUUUUCUUGUUGUUCUUUAUACUUUAAAUUUGGCUUUGCAGCAAAUAAAGAUUUCGUGCUUCACUUGGCUUGGCCACCUGAAAGAGUCCAAUAAAAGAUCCACUAGGGAAUUUUUGAAAAGAAAGAAUGCAGUGGAGCAACAAAAGAGACGUUCAAAGACAUACACACAGAACACUCACACCCAGCACACAAAUGCAUAUACGCAGGCACACCCCCUCACACACACACACUCAAACCCACCACACACAUGCACGCACCCAAGCCAGUUAAAGUAAAUGUGCAAAAAACCUAAUCAGAGCUGACAUUUAUUAAGGGACUAAGAUAUGCCUUCCAUGGUGCUAGGCAAUCCAGCCCGUGAAAGCGUUAGCCUCUUUCUUUCUCAAGAGGGCGGGGCUGUGAUUACCACCAUUUCUCAGAAGAGGAAGUGAGAGCAGAGAAAUACAGUACAAAGGAAGAGAUCUGUGCUGCUCUGAACUGUACUCAAACUAUGCACAUCAUCUAAAAAUUUACAAGCAUUUCAGCUUAAAUCUCUUACUCUGGCAUUUUUUUCCUUCUACCAUACAGCCCUGCAGAACUCUGUUCAGUGAGCAAAUUGUGAUGCAGAUCCGUGUGCUGAGAAUAAGCUUUCUGGACUGGGUGCCCUGACUUUGUGUGUGUGUGUGUGUGUGUGUGUGUGUGUGUGUGUGUGUGUUUGCCAUUUCUUGGGCCGCUUCUGCGGCAUAUGGAGGUUCCCAGGCUAGGGGUCAAAUCGGAGCUGUGGCCACGGGCCUAUGCCAGAGCCACAGCCAUGCGGGAUCCGAGCCACAUCUGCAACCUACACCACAGCUCACGGCAAUGCCAGAUCCUUAACCCACUGAGCAAGGCCAGGAUCAAACCCGCAACCUCAUGGUUCCUAGUCGGAUUGGUUAACCACUGCGCCAUGACGGGAACUCCUGGGUGCCCUGACUUUAAGUCUCAGCAGCAACUCCCUGGAUGGUGCGCCAGUGAAACAGCUGCCCCACCUCUGAGUCUCUCUCCAUUCCCAGUUGGUCCCCUGCACUCCUCCGGGAACACUUCCCCAAACACAGACCGCGUUACGUCACUGUCCUGCUGCAAAAUCCCUGCAAGGAGGUGGUCGGGCCUCAAAUCUUGAGCUUAGCUCCAAAGGCCUUUCACACACAUAAUACACAUAAUUCCCCCUCUGGAUCUUUUGUAUUUCCCAUUCCCAUUUCCUGUCUAUAUCUAGAAAAUCUCUCUUUCAUUCGAGACCUGGUUCACAGGUCACCCCCUUUCCAGGGCCCUGCCCAGCUCGCUGCCGUGCACUUUAUGUCAGCAUUGAGUGUCACGUGCUGACUGUGUUUAUUCACAUCUCGGCACAUUAGACUUUCAGCUACUUGCGAGAACCGCCUGCCCCCUUGUUUCCCAAGCAAUGGGCGCAAAGACUGGGGUGGAUUCAAUCUUCAAAAUGCAAGUUUGUUUGGUAUUUUUUAGCGAUUGAACACAUGAGUGAAUGUCUUCACCCUGCUGUGGUCUCAUUUCUCUCCAGCCCUCUCCUUGCAGCUGUGUGUCGUGUUUGCUGGGAGGUGACCUUUUAUUCAAGGUUCUUUUCAGGGUCCGUGCAUCUGGCCAGGCAGUUCUUUUCAAACAUCUUGCUAUUUUCCCCUCUCAAAAUGUUCUUGGUUUAUCCGCUCAUCUCUGAACAAAGCUAUUUACGAGGCAGUGUUCCUGGUCGUUUGGCAGGGGGGCCUGCUCUCAGGGCUUUCCUCAAUUGAUUUGACCCAUUUUUUCACACAUACGAUUAGAAAACUGCUUCGGAUGUGAUUUCUCUUGAACAAAAGCCGCACCUAACAUUUAGAGGGGCUCAAAUAUUGACUCUCUCUCUUCCAUGCUUCAUUUACAGAGUUAAAUAGAAACUGGGAGUUAGGAGGACUCCAAAUUUACAUUCCUGAAUACUUAGGAAUGUAAUAGUCUUUGCUGGUUAUCAAGCAAAGACAACAGAGAGCCUGCCUGGCCCAGAGGCUGAGCUGCAACCUGGGAUCCCACUCUGCACCUGCAGAACAGAAGUUCAGAUUCAUGCUGUGUGGAGUUCCCAUUGCAGCUCAGCAGUCAACGAACCCAUCUAGUAUCCAUGAGGAUGUGGGUUCCAUCCCUGGCCUCGCUCCAUGGGUUAAGGAUCUGGUGUUGCCACAAGCUACAGUGGGAUCUGUUGUGGCUGUGGCUGUGGCAUAAGCCCAGGAACUUCCACAGCCUGCAGGUGUGGC